GGUGUAUCAUGCGCUCAUGGCGUAGCUGUUUAUUUGUUAUAGUAUACUUUUUCAGCAUUUUUUUUUGUACAGUUAUAGAAACUCACACAUGCUUGUAAUCUAAAUAGUGAGUAAUAAAAUUGAGAAUGAAAAUGAGGAAUAUGUCAAAGAAACAAAAAAGAUAUCUAGUAACAAUGCAAGGGCAGUUAUGGUAUCAAAGUAG
RNAcentral lists this long non-coding RNA (202 nucleotides) under Mytilus galloprovincialis (Mediterranean mussel). The record is from RNAcentral. Lineage: Eukaryota; Metazoa; Mollusca; Bivalvia; Mytilida; Mytilidae.